GACGAACCGAGCGAACGUUGUUCGGAAUCACUGGGCGUAAAGGGCGCGUAGGCGGCUGUACAAGUCAAAGGUGAAAUCCCUCGGCUCAACUGAGGAACUGCCUUUGAAACUGUACGGCUUGAGGCCGGGAGGGGGUAGCGGAAUUCCCAGUGUAGCGGUGAAAUGCGUAGAUAUCAGGAGGAACACCGGUGGUGUAGACGGCUUUCUGGACCGUAACUGACGCUGAGACACGAAAGCGUGGGUAGCAAACAGG
RNAcentral lists this ribosomal RNA (253 nucleotides) under uncultured bacterium. RNAcentral describes it as "partial 16S ribosomal RNA". It matches the Rfam family "Bacterial small subunit ribosomal RNA", at positions 524 to 776 of the family's 1533-position model. The record is from RNAcentral.